Molecule: ribosomal RNA, 433 nt
Filed under: uncultured bacterium
Lineage: Bacteria
Description: partial 16S ribosomal RNA
Rfam family: Bacterial small subunit ribosomal RNA
Source: RNAcentral
AACGAACGCUGGCGGCAGGCCUAACACAUGCAAGUCGAGCGGACCCUUCGGGGUUAGCGGCGGACGGGUGAGUAACGCGUGGGAAUAUGCCCUUCUCUACGGAAUAGUCCUGGGAAACUGGGGGUAAUACCGUAUACGCCCUUUGGGGGAAAGAUUUAUCGGGGAAGGAUUAGCCCGCGUUGGAUUAGGUAGUUGGUGGGGUAAUGGCCUACCAAGCCGACGAUCCAUAGCUGGUUUGAGAGGAUGAUCAGCCACACUGGGACUGAGACACGGCCCAGACUCCUACGGGAGGCAGCAGUGGGGAAUCUUAGACAAUGGGGGCAACCCUGAUCUAGCCAUGCCGCGUGAGUUAUGAAGGCCUUAGGGUUGUAAAGCUCUUUCAGCUGGGAAGAUAAUGACGGUACCAGCAGAAGAAGCCCCGGCUAACUCCGUG